RNAcentral lists this ribosomal RNA (253 nucleotides) under uncultured bacterium. RNAcentral's name for it is "partial 16S ribosomal RNA". It matches the Rfam family "Bacterial small subunit ribosomal RNA", at positions 524 to 776 of the family's 1533-position model. The record is from RNAcentral.
UACGAAGGGGGCUAGCGUUGUUCGGAAUUACUGGGCGUAAAGCGUGCGCAGGCGGUUUUGUAAGCCCGAUGUGAAAUCCCCGGGCUUAACCUGGGAAUGGCAUUUGGGACUGCAAGGCUGGAGUACGGCAGAGGAGACUGGAAUUCCUGGUGUAGCAGUGAAAUGCGUAGAGAUCAGGAGGAAUACCGAUGGCGAAGGCAGGUCUCUGGGCUGAUACUGACGCUCAUGCACGAAAGCGUGGGGAGCAAACAGG